Molecule: non-coding RNA, 285 nt
Filed under: Ctenactis echinata
Lineage: Eukaryota; Metazoa; Cnidaria; Anthozoa; Scleractinia; Fungiidae
Source: RNAcentral
CUUCAGUAAGGUGCUGGUCAUGAACCAGCGAUCUAACCCUAAGGGUUACUGGCUUUGUCCAGGUUCUUGCUCAGUUUCUGAGCAAUCAAGCACAGCUCUGUCCUCGUUGCACUCGCCGAGUGUGUUUUUGAGGUUUUCUUUCGCACAAGGCAAGAGGAUUUGAGCUUCGGACAAGAAACCUUGGAAGGCAGUCAACGAGUAUGGAUCCAACACUGGAAAAUGCAGUCGCCUUCGACGCUGGAAAUGAUGCAAAGAUUUUGGGGAAUGCAGCCAUAAGAACCCAGC